GUGGUUGUGGCUCAAUGGUAGAGUGCUAGCCUAGUAUGCACGAGGCACUGAGUUCAAUCCUCAGCACCACA
Ictidomys tridecemlineatus (thirteen-lined ground squirrel) is the source of this 71-nucleotide non-coding RNA. The record is from Rfam. Lineage: Eukaryota; Metazoa; Chordata; Mammalia; Rodentia; Sciuridae.